AAAGACUCAAUUCGUGGAUUUUCGCGUCCAACGUUUGACCAUCCAUCUUAUAUGAAAUUUUUUAUGAUUAGUAUUUUUAUUACUGUUAGAUGAUAAAACAUGAAUAAUACUUUAUACAUGACUUAUCUUUUUAAUUUUUUUAUAAUUUUUUCAAAUAAAACGAACAGUCAAACGUUAGACACGGAAACCCAGGAAUUGAGUUUUU
Molecule: non-coding RNA, 205 nt
Organism: Oryza glumipatula
Lineage: Eukaryota; Viridiplantae; Streptophyta; Magnoliopsida; Poales; Poaceae
Source: Rfam